GCGAGUGAAGAGGGAAAAGCUCAAGUUUGGAAGCUUCGUGGCAUAGCUACGACGCGUUGUAAACUGAAGUUUUUUGGGUGAUUGGGCGACCGGAUAAAUAAGUCCUUUGGAAAGGGGCAACAUAGAGGGUGACAUUCCCGUCUUUGGUCCGAGUCAGUGCAGUCGCUGCCCAGGAAACGACGAGUCAGGUUGUUUGGGAAUGCAGCCUAAAAUGGGAGGUAAAUCUCUCCUAAAGCUAAAUACUGGCGUAAGACCGAUAGCGAACAAGUACCGUGAGGGAAAGAUGAAAAGGACUUUGAAAAGAGGGUCAAAUAGUACGUGAAAUUGUUGAAAGGGAACCGUAUGAAAGUAGACUGGCUUGGUGAUGAUCAAUGUGUGUUUCGGCACGCAUGCACUCAUUGCCUUUGCCAGCCAGCGGCAGUUUUUGCUAAAGGAAGAAAAUCAGGGGAAUGUAGCUUCGAUUUCGGUUGAAGUGUUAUAGCUCCUGGUAAAAUACUUUGGCAGAGACUGAGGCUAGCAGCGGAUCUUUGGGAACUUUGCGCGCUUGUCGUCCAAUGGUUAAGUUUUCUUCGGAUGCUUGGUCAUUGGGUGGCAACUCGUGUGAUGCUUCACCCUUCCGCUUAGGUCGCUG
This 631-nucleotide ribosomal RNA is filed under the name Gongronella butleri. Its description in RNAcentral is "LSU rRNA". It matches the Rfam family "Eukaryotic large subunit ribosomal RNA", at positions 89 to 628 of the family's 3401-position model. Lineage: Eukaryota; Fungi; Mucoromycota; Mucoromycetes; Mucorales; Cunninghamellaceae. The record is from RNAcentral.